RNAcentral lists this ribosomal RNA (271 nucleotides) under uncultured bacterium. Its description in RNAcentral is "partial 16S ribosomal RNA". It matches the Rfam family "Bacterial small subunit ribosomal RNA", at positions 524 to 794 of the family's 1533-position model. The record is from RNAcentral.
UACGGAGGGUGCGAGCGUUAAUCGGAAUUACUGGGCGUAAAGCGCGCGUAGGUGGUUGUGUAAGUUGGAUGUGAAAGCCCCGGGCUUAACCUGGGAACUGCAUUCAAAGCUGCACGGCUAGAGUACGGCAGAGGGGGAUGGAAUUCCGCGUGUAGCAGUGAAAUGCGUAGAUAUGCGGAGGAACACCGAUGGCGAAGGCAAUCCCCUGGGCCUGCACUGACGCUCAUGCACGAAAGCGUGGGGAGCAAACAGGAUUAGAAACCCUAGUAGU